This 388-nucleotide ribosomal RNA is filed under the name uncultured bacterium. Its description in RNAcentral is "bacterial SSU rRNA". It matches the Rfam family "Bacterial small subunit ribosomal RNA", at positions 28 to 417 of the family's 1533-position model. The record is from RNAcentral.
GACGAACGCUGACGGUGUGCUUUAGACAUGCAAGUCGAGCGGUAAGGCCCCUUCGGGGGUACACGAGCGGCGAACGGGUGAGUAACACGUGGGUGACCUGCCCUCAGCUCUGGGAUAAGCCUGGGAAACUGGGUCUAAUACCGGAUAUGACUCCAUGACGCAUGUCGUGGGGUGGAAAGCCUUGUGCGGCUGGGGAUGGGCCCGCGGCCUAUCAGCUUGUUGGUGGGGUGAUGGCCUACCAAGGCAACGACGGGUAGCCGGCCUGAGAGGGCGACCGGCCACACUGGGACUGAGACACGGCCCAGACUCCUACGGGAGGCAGCAGUGGGGAAUCUUGCGCAAUGGGCGAAAGCCUGACGCAGCGACGCCGCGUGAGGGAUGACGGCCU